This 1046-nucleotide long non-coding RNA is filed under the name Homo sapiens (human). Its description in RNAcentral is "LHRI_LNC700.1". The record is from RNAcentral. Lineage: Eukaryota; Metazoa; Chordata; Mammalia; Primates; Hominidae.
CACCGGGUCUGUCUGGUCUCAGCUCUGGCCUCUGAGUCAUUAGCGUUGUUUUCUUCUGAGGCCAGGGCUUCAGAUUAGUCAGGGGCUCCUGUUUCCUGGCUGAUAAAGCAGGUGGAAGAAACACAAUCUGGCCGCCUAGAGGCUGCGUGAAGCUCGUGACCCUGCGGGGUGACUAACGGAGCUCAGCUGGGUGGGACCAGAAACCACGUCUGGGCACUCCUGAGUCACAGGCUCAGAAGCUUUCGCCUCCGCCUUCAGACUGGCCCUCAGGCUUCCCUGCUCAGAGGCAGGGAAUUGUGCAGCUGGAGUUUCAUUUUCCAAGAGGCAGGGUCUCAGUCUGUCACCCAGGCUGGAGUACAGUGGCACCAUCUUGGCUCACUCUAGCCUCGACCUCCUGGGCUCAAGUGAGCCUCCUACCUCAGUCUCCCAAAAUGCUGGGAUUACAAGCAUGAACCACUGUGACUUGCCUUCUUGGCAAUUUUAAAUGAAAGAAGAAGAUGGAAUAAUGCCUACUGAGGACUAUGUUUGAGGGGUGUUGUAUGACCCCGUUUUCCAUACCCAGCCAACUUGUCAUGUGACAAGUCCACAGAAAGAUGUUAUAUGACAGGAAUCUAUGAACUAGUCUUCCCUGAAAUGUACCUGACUACAGCUAACAUCAUAUCACAUGAUGAAAGACCGCGUUGUUUUCCCCUGAGGUUGGCACAAACUCCAACAGGCCCCAAACGAGCUGAGAAAAUAUCCAACUUCAAAGGUUUUGCACAAAUCAUCUUAAAGGCCUGACCUAAGCCCGGAAAGCCGGAACGAAGCCCAGAAAUCAGUCCUCAUUUCAUCGCCGUUUAGCCAAGACACCUUUCCCGUCCACAGAUCACAUCUGCCCCCUUCUGCCCCCGCCCAGGUCCCAACCACCUUGAGACACCUGCGUGAUCCAUCCUCAAAGCAAUGAGUUAGGAGCCGCACUCCUGGUCCUUGGCCGGUGGCUUCAGUGUUAUUCCGGGGGGCUGGGUGGGGGCACCUGUGGGGACUGCCCCGUGAGGCUGUGGUUUAAU